RNAcentral lists this ribosomal RNA (2111 nucleotides) under Salmonella enterica subsp. enterica serovar Heidelberg. RNAcentral describes it as "partial 23S ribosomal RNA". It matches the Rfam family "Bacterial large subunit ribosomal RNA", at positions 711 to 2803 of the family's 2925-position model. The record is from RNAcentral. RNAcentral also lists the same sequence under 7 other names. Lineage: Bacteria; Pseudomonadati; Pseudomonadota; Gammaproteobacteria; Enterobacterales; Enterobacteriaceae.
AGACCCGAAACCCGGUGAUCUAGCCAUGGGCAGGUUGAAGGUUGGGUAACACUAACUGGAGGACCGAACCGACUAAUGUUGAAAAAUUAGCGGAUGACCUGUGGCUGGGGGUGAAAGGCCAAUCAAACCGGGAGAUAGCUGGUUCUCCCCGAAAGCUAUUUAGGUAGCGCCUCGUGAAUUCAUCUCCGGGGGUAGAGCACUGUUUCGGCUAGGGGGCCAUCCCGGCUUACCAACCCGAUGCAAACUGCGAAUACCGGAGAAUGUUAUCACGGGAGACACACGGCGGGUGCUAACGUCCGUCGUGAAGAGGGAAACAACCCAGACCGCCAGCUAAGGUCCCAAAGUCAUGGUUAAGUGGGAAACGAUGUGGGAAGGCCCAGACAGCCAGGAUGUUGGCUUAGAAGCAGCCAUCAUUUAAAGAAAGCGUAAUAGCUCACUGGUCGAGUCGGCCUGCGCGGAAGAUGUAACGGGGCUAAACCAUGCACCGAAGCUGCGGCAGCGACACUGUGUGUUGUUGGGUAGGGGAGCGUUCUGUAAGCCUGUGAAGGUGUGUCGUGAGGCAUGCUGGAGGUAUCAGAAGUGCGAAUGCUGACAUAAGUAACGAUAAAGCGGGUGAAAAGCCCGCUCGCCGGAAGACCAAGGGUUCCUGUCCAACGUUAAUCGGGGCAGGGUGAGUCGACCCCUAAGGCGAGGCCGAAAGGCGUAGUCGAUGGGAAACGGGUUAAUAUUCCCGUACUUGGUGUUACUGCGAAGGGGGGACGGAGAAGGCUAUGUUGGCCGGGCGACGGUUGUCCCGGUUUAAGCGUGUAGGUGUGUGUUCCAGGUAAAUCCGGUUCACUUUAACACUGAGGCGUGACGACGAGGCACUACGGUGCUGAAGCAACAAAUGCCCUGCUUCCAGGAAAAGCCUCUAAGCAUCAGGUAACAUCAAAUCGUACCCCAAACCGACACAGGUGGUCAGGUAGAGAAUACCAAGGCGCUUGAGAGAACUCGGGUGAAGGAACUAGGCAAAAUGGUGCCGUAACUUCGGGAGAAGGCACGCUGACACGUAGGUGAAGUGAUUUACUCAUGGAGCUGAAGUCAGUCGAAGAUACCAGCUGGCUGCAACUGUUUAUUAAAAACACAGCACUGUGCAAACACGAAAGUGGACGUAUACGGUGUGACGCCUGCCCGGUGCCGGAAGGUUAAUUGAUGGGGUCAGCGCAAGCGAAGCUCCUGAUCGAAGCCCCGGUAAACGGCGGCCGUAACUAUAACGGUCCUAAGGUAGCGAAAUUCCUUGUCGGGUAAGUUCCGACCUGCACGAAUGGCGUAAUGAUGGCCAGGCUGUCUCCACCCGAGACUCAGUGAAAUUGAACUCGCUGUGAAGAUGCAGUGUACCCGCGGCAAGACGGAAAGACCCCGUGAACCUUUACUAUAGCUUGACACUGAACAUUGAGCCUUGAUGUGUAGGAUAGGUGGGAGGCUUUGAAGUGUGGACGCCAGUCUGCAUGGAGCCGACCUUGAAAUACCACCCUUUAAUGUUUGAUGUUCUAACGUGGACCCGUUACCCGGGUUGCGGACAGUGUCUGGUGGGUAGUUUGACUGGGGCGGUCUCCUCCUAAAGAGUAACGGAGGAGCACGAAGGUUGGCUAAUCCUGGUCGGACAUCAGGAGGUUAGUGCAAUGGCAUAAGCCAGCUUGACUGCGAGCGUGACGGCGCGAGCAGGUGCGAAAGCAGGUCAUAGUGAUCCGGUGGUUCUGAAUGGAAGGGCCAUCGCUCAACGGAUAAAAGGUACUCCGGGGAUAACAGGCUGAUACCGCCCAAGAGUUCAUAUCGACGGCGGUGUUUGGCACCUCGAUGUCGGCUCAUCACAUCCUGGGGCUGAAGUAGGUCCCAAGGGUAUGGCUGUUCGCCAUUUAAAGUGGUACGCGAGCUGGGUUUAGAACGUCGUGAGACAGUUCGGUCCCUAUCUGCCGUGGGCGCUGGAGAACUGAGGGGGGCUGCUCCUAGUACGAGAGGACCGGAGUGGACGCAUCACUGGUGUUCGGGUUGUCAUGCCAAUGGCACUGCCCGGUAGCUAAAUGCGGAAGAGAUAAGUGCUGAAAGCAUCUAAGCACGAAACUUGCCCCGAG